UACGUAGGGUGCAAGCGUUAAUCGGAAUUACUGGGCGUAAAGCGUGCGCGGGCGGUUUUGUAAGUCUGUCGUGAAAGCCCCGGGCUCAACCUGGGAAUUGCGAUGGAGACUACAAGGCUUGAAUCUGGCAGAGGGGGGUAGAAUUCCACGUGUAGCAGUGAAAUGCGUAGAGAUGUGGAGGAACACCGAUGGCGAAGGCAGCCCCCUGGGUCAAGAUUGACGCUCAUGCACGAAAGCGUGGGGAGCAAACAGG
Molecule: ribosomal RNA, 253 nt
Filed under: uncultured bacterium
Lineage: Bacteria
Description: partial 16S ribosomal RNA
Rfam family: Bacterial small subunit ribosomal RNA
Source: RNAcentral